AUGCACGUGAUGAAGCAAAGCAGUAUGAUUAAUGUCAUGAUACUGUAAACGCUUUCUGAUGCU
Molecule: small nucleolar RNA, 63 nt
Organism: Cavia porcellus (domestic guinea pig)
Lineage: Eukaryota; Metazoa; Chordata; Mammalia; Rodentia; Caviidae
Product: small nucleolar RNA Z39
Source: Ensembl